Molecule: unclassified non-coding RNA, 248 nt
Filed under: Hevea brasiliensis (rubber tree)
Lineage: Eukaryota; Viridiplantae; Streptophyta; Magnoliopsida; Malpighiales; Euphorbiaceae
Source: RNAcentral
GAUAAAGACUUAGUUGAGUUGAGUAUUGAGCCACUGCCAAAGACUUUCAAAUUGCUAUAAUACAGCAACUGAUUUUGGAUGGGUGGGUUGCCUCUAUACCAUCUUUCUAUAAAAAAAAUAUGCUAUACCUUUCUUUAGCCAUAGAAUUUCGGUCCACCAACUUCUUUAGAUAUAUGAACUGUUGCCAGUUCUUACAAUCUUCUUUUGUCACUUAUGUCCUAUUGUUAUCUUCUUUUUUUGUUUUUUUU